Molecule: ribosomal RNA, 405 nt
Filed under: uncultured bacterium
Lineage: Bacteria
Description: bacterial SSU rRNA
Rfam family: Bacterial small subunit ribosomal RNA
Source: RNAcentral
AUUGAACGCUGGCGGCGUGCUUAACACAUGCAAGUCGAGCGGUAACAGGCGUAGCAAUACGUGCUGACGAGCGGCGAACGGGUGCGUAAUACAUGGGAAUCUGCCUAGUAGUGGGGAAUAACCCGGCGAAAGCCGGGCUAAUGCCGCAUACGAUCCACGGAUGAAAGCGGGGGACCUUCGGGCCUCGCGCUAUUAGUUGAGCCCAUGUCGGAUUAGCUAGUUGGUGAGGUAACGGCUCACCAAGGCGACGAUCCGUAGCUGGUCUGAGAGGACGGCCAGCCACACUGGGACUGAGACACGGCCCAGACUCCUACGGGAGGCAGCAGUGGGGAAUAUUGGACAAUGGGGGAAACCCUGAUCCAGCGACGCCGCGUGUGUGAAGAAGGCCUGCGGGUUGUAAAGCAC